AGAGUUUGAUCAUGGCUCANAUUGAACGCUAGCGGGAUGCCUUACACAUGCAAGUCGAACGGCAGCACGGACUUCGGUCUGGUGGCGAGUGGCGAACGGGUGAGUAAUGUAUCGGAACGUGCCCAGUAGCGGGGGAUAACUACGCGAAAGCGUAGCUAAUACCGCAUACGCCCUACGGGGGAAAGCAGGGGAUCGCAAGACCUUGCACUAUUGGAGCGGCCGAUAUCGGAUUAGCUAGUUGGUGGGGUAACGGCUCACCAAGGCGACGAUCCGUAGCUGGUUUGAGAGGACGACCAGCCACACUGGGACUGAGACACGGCCCAGACUCCUACGGGAGGCAGCAGUGGGGAAUUUUGGACAAUGGGGGAAACCCUGAUCCAGCCAUCCCGCGUGUGCGAUGAAGGCCUUCGGGUUGUAAAGCACUUUUGGCAGGAAAGAAACGUCAUGGGUUAAUACCCCGUGAAACUGACGGUACCUGCAGAAUAAGCACCGGCUAACUACGUGCCAGCAGCCGCGGUAAUACGUAGGGUGCAAGCGUUAAUCGGAAUUACUGGGCGUAAAGCGUGCGCAGGCGGUACGGAAAGAAAGAUGUGAAAUCCCAGAACUUAACUUUGGAACUGCAUUUUUAACUACCGGC
RNAcentral lists this ribosomal RNA (637 nucleotides) under uncultured beta proteobacterium. RNAcentral describes it as "bacterial SSU rRNA". It matches the Rfam family "Bacterial small subunit ribosomal RNA", at positions 8 to 640 of the family's 1533-position model. Lineage: Bacteria; Pseudomonadati; Pseudomonadota; Betaproteobacteria. The record is from RNAcentral.